GACGAACGCUGGCGGCGUGCUUAACACAUGCAAGUCGAACGGUGAAGCGCCUUCCUUUUUGGUGGGUGUGGAUGAGUGGCGAACGGGGGAGUAACACGUGAGUAACCUGCCCCCUUCUUCUGGAUAACCGCAUGAAAGUGUGGCUAAUACGGGAUAUUCUGUGUCUGUCGCAUGAUGGGUCUGGGAAAGAUAUUGUUUCGGUGGGGGAUGGUCUCGUGGCGGAUUAGCUUGUUGGUGGGGGGAUGGCCUACCAAGGCGGCGACGGGUAGCCGGCCUGAGAGGAGGAUGGGCGGUAAUGCAAGGGAUGAGCGGCGGAGACGCCUCCGGGGGGAAGCAGCGGGGAAGAUUGGUCAACGGGCGGAAGCAUGAUCCAGCAGCGCCGCGGGGGGGGAGAUGGACUUCGGGGUGUAGUGCCCUUCUGUCGGGAGAGAAGAGCAGCAGCCUAAUAUGUCGCUGUGUUGACGGUAGCUGAAGAAUAAGCACCGGCUAACUACGUG
RNAcentral lists this ribosomal RNA (497 nucleotides) under uncultured bacterium. RNAcentral's name for it is "partial 16S ribosomal RNA". It matches the Rfam family "Bacterial small subunit ribosomal RNA", at positions 28 to 507 of the family's 1533-position model. The record is from RNAcentral.